Grammomys surdaster is the source of this 372-nucleotide non-coding RNA. The record is from the annotation of a RefSeq genome assembly. NCBI's taxonomy places the organism in Eukaryota, Metazoa, Chordata, Mammalia, Rodentia, Muridae.
CACAGACCACACACCAUGUACUUUGGGCUCAGCUGGGUUUUUCUUGUCCUUAUUUUAAAAGGUGUCCAGUGUGAGGUGCAGCUGGUGGAAUCUGGAGGAGGCUUAGUGCAGCCUGAAAAGUCCAUGAAACUCUCCUGUGCAGCCUCUGGAUUCACUUUCAGUGACUAUGCAAUGGCCUGGGUUCAUCAUACUCCAGAGAAGGGUCUAGAAUGGGUUGCAACCAUUAGUACUAGUGGUGGUAUCACCUACUAUCCAGACACCUUGAAAGGCCGAUUCACCAUCUCAAGAGACAAUGCAAAGAACAUGCUAUACCUGCAAAUGUGCAAUCUGAAGUCUGAGAACACGGCCAUGUUUUACUGUGUAAGACACACA